RNAcentral lists this long non-coding RNA (229 nucleotides) under Bos taurus (domestic cattle). Its description in RNAcentral is "long non-coding RNA NONBTAT015071". Lineage: Eukaryota; Metazoa; Chordata; Mammalia; Artiodactyla; Bovidae. The record is from RNAcentral.
CUGCCCCGUGGGACUCAGCUCCUAAUGCUUCUGAAAUGUGAUCCAGAGAAGAAAUAUUCUCCAAAGCAAUCAGUAAGUUUGCAGCAAUGAAACUGCUUAAAUCACACUGGAUUCAUUGCACAAAGAGAUCCAAGCACCUCCAUUCCCAAUCACACACAGACAAAGUGUGAAUGUUUUCAGGAAAGUUUAGUGGGAACAAACUACACAAAAAUAUACAAAAGAUUCUCUC